GACGAACGCUGGCGGCGUGCUUAACACAUGCAAGUCGAACGGAAAGGCCCUGCUUUUGUGGGGUGCUCGAGUGGCGAACGGGUGAGUAACACGUGAGUAACCUGCCCUUGACUUUGGGAUAACUUCAGGAAACUGGGGCUAAUACCGGAUAGGAGCUCCUGCUGCAUGGUGGGGGUUGGAAAGUUUCGGCGGUGGGGGAUGGACUCGCGGCUUAUCAGCUUGUUGGUGGGGUAGUGGCUUACCAAGGCUUUGACGGGUAGCCGGCCUGAGAGGGUUACCGGCCACAUUGGGACUGAGAUACGACCCAGACUCCUACGGGAGGCAGCAGUGGGGAAUAUUGCACAAUAGGCGGAAGCCUGAUGCAGCAACGCCGCGUGCGGGAUGACGGCCUUCGGGUUGUAAACCGCUUUCGCCUGUGACGAAGCGUGAGUGACGGUAAUGGGUAAAGAAGCACCGGCUAACUACGUG
Molecule: ribosomal RNA, 468 nt
Filed under: uncultured bacterium
Lineage: Bacteria
Description: partial 16S ribosomal RNA
Rfam family: Bacterial small subunit ribosomal RNA
Source: RNAcentral